AUUGAACGCUGGCGGCAUGCUUUACACAUGCAAGUCGAACGGUAACAGGCCGCAAGGUGCUGACGACUGGCGCACGGGUGUGAAAUGCACCGAAACGUGCCCAUUCGUGGGGGAUAACUACUCGAAAGACUAGCUAAUACCGCACACGAUUUCUGGACGAAAGCGGGGGACCUUAAGGCAUCGCGCGCUUGGAUCGGCUGAUGUCAGAUUAGGUAGUUUGUGGGGUAAAGCCUCACCACGCCAACGAUCUGUAGCUGGUCUGAGAGGACGAUCAGUCACACUGGGACUGAGACACGGACCAGACUCCUACGGGAGGCAGCAGUGGGGAAUACUGGACAAUGGGCGCAAGCCUGAUCCAGCAAUGCCGCGUGCAGGAAGAAGGCCUUCGGUUUGUAAAGUUCUUUUGUUCGGGAGGAAGGGACUAUGGUUAAUACCCCGCUUUAUUGACGUUACCGUAAGAAUAAGCACCGGCUAACUUCGUG
RNAcentral lists this ribosomal RNA (482 nucleotides) under uncultured bacterium. Its description in RNAcentral is "partial 16S ribosomal RNA". It matches the Rfam family "Bacterial small subunit ribosomal RNA", at positions 30 to 507 of the family's 1533-position model. The record is from RNAcentral.